Molecule: small nuclear RNA, 318 nt
Filed under: Octodon degus (degu)
Lineage: Eukaryota; Metazoa; Chordata; Mammalia; Rodentia; Octodontidae
Description: 7SK RNA (ENSODEG00000023955.1)
Rfam family: 7SK RNA
About the family: 7SK was discovered as an abundant small nuclear RNA in the mid-70s but a possible function has only recently been suggested.
Source: RNAcentral
GGAUGUGAGGGCAAUCUGGCUGGGACAUCUGUCAUGUCAUUGAUCACCAGGGUUGAUUCACCAGUCUACAAGGCAAGGCAGGUGUCCUCUUCCUCCCUCAGCACUCUGUGUGAGUGCCUCCUGAAGCAGCUUGCUCACUUGAAUACAGUGACCACCCUAGAUUGAGGAGGACCAUUCCUGGGUCAAGAGCAUAUGAGCACCUGUGCUUCCCCACUAGAACCUCCAAACAAGCUCUCAAGGCCCAUUUGUAGGAGAACAGAGGGUAGUCAAGCUUCCAUGAUAGCAGUACCUACGGCUGCAGUGGUGGUGGUAUCUGUA